CCUACGGGGGGCAGCAGUGAGGAAUAUUGGUCAAUGGACGAGAGUCUGAACCAGCCAAGUAGCGUGAAGGAUGACUGCCCUAUGGGUUGUAAACUUCUUUUAUAUGGGAAUAAAAUGUUCCACGUGUGGGAUUUUGUAUGUACCAUAUGAAUAAGGAUCGGCUAACUCCGUGCCAGCAGCCGCGGUAAUACGGAGGAUCCGAGCGUUAUCCGGAUUUAUUGGGUUUAAAGGGAGCGUAGGUGGAUUGUUAAGUCAGUUGUGAAAGUUUGCGGCUCAACCGUAAAAUUGCAGUUGAAACUGGCAGUCUUGAGUACAGUAGAGGUGGGCGGAAUUCGUGGUGUAGCGGUGAAAUGCUUAGAUAUCACGAAGAACUCCGAUUGCGAAGGCAGUUCACUGGACUGCAACUGACUCUGAGGCUCGAAAGUGUGGGUAUCAAACAGGAUUAGAUACCCUAGUAGUC
RNAcentral lists this ribosomal RNA (460 nucleotides) under uncultured bacterium. RNAcentral's name for it is "partial 16S ribosomal RNA". It matches the Rfam family "Bacterial small subunit ribosomal RNA", at positions 338 to 795 of the family's 1533-position model. The record is from RNAcentral.